UUUUUUUUUUUUUUUGCCUCUUCUAACAGUGAAAGUGCUUUCAAACAAACUCUCCGAUGAAACCCUAUAUAUGGAACAGGCGAAUGUGGAGCUGCUGUUACUGUAUGCAACCUGAACAACGAGAUGCAGUGCCCUGGGUAGGUGUCCUGCUUGCGUGGUCUCUCCCUCAUUUCCCUCUCACAGUAGAUGCUUCUUAAACACAUCUUCUAAUUUUCUUGUCCCCAUCUCUUAUUCCACCCACAGCAGUGGCAAUCAGUUUCAUACAGGGUCUAACCAGCCUUACAGAAGUGUGAGCUGACUGUCCCCACCGCAGCCCCACCUCUCCCUUCUGCCCUGGAAUUUCUCUAGUCCUCUGGUGCAGGACAGCCUUAUAAAUAACCCAUUGUCAUCCAUGCACACAACCCAGAACAGGGAAGUAAUCUUUAAGGUAUAUAAAUGAAGGUUCUGAGAGUAGAAAUUUACAUGGGCCAUUGUCACAGUCAAAUCGAUAGUUGUGGAAAACAAAGUGUGGCAGUCCUUGACCAAAAGGAGUUGAGAAUUGAGGGGCAAAUGCAGCUCCCUUUCCUGUCCCAGGCAGAUGGUCCUAAUAUGCAUUUCAUAAGCUUCUCAGCUGUCCCAUAGAAUCAAACGUGCAGGUGGCUGUAGCAUUGGCUGGCUAACUCCAUAACGCAUGCCUCCAUUGAUUUUCCAAUGAGUUUUUCACCAUUCACUUUUUCAUCCCUCAUUCCUGCUCCCUGGAGUCACACUGCCAAAAAACUACUUAGCCUUAUUCCUCUAUGUCAGGUUUUGUUUUCUAAGGUGGCAUCCUGUAACAUCUCCUAACUUGGGAAAAGCACUUCCAAGGUACUCCAAAGUUUCUUCUUGGUUUGAAAUGAUUGCUUUGGAAUCAAAUUAUGUUGAGAUAGUUAGAAGAGAUAUCUUGACUGAAGAACAGCUAAUUAUUCUCAGCGCUGAGCAGGCAAUUUGCAUUUAAUGUAUAUAAGUGAAAGCUCUGAGAGUAGAAAUUUAAAUGGGCCAUUGUCAUGGCCAAAUCGAUCCGUGUGGAAAACAAAGUGAAUUUUUAGUGGAGUGGUAUAAAAGCUCUAGCCCCUUGGAGAGUCUGUUUGGUCUGAUUUGGAGUUUUGCCUUUAAUAACAAAUGAAAGUACAGAUUUAGGUCUCUAGGGCUUUCUAUCUCCACAGCCUCUGGAUGUUUAAAAACACACACCAUUAGCACUUGCCUCAUCUUUCCUAAACUGGCGGUUGUCACGGUUCAUUUAAAGAAGUACAACAGUUCCUCGGAAGAUAGCAGCCACCUCCCACACCCCUACACCCCCAGACACCCAGGAUACAUCUUGUGUAUACUUAAGCUGUCUCUGACACACAUAAUUUCUUUUUCAACCCUGAGUAAUCAGUCGUUUUUGUACCCUUAGUAAAGAGAACACUGUAUUUUUGUACAGAAAAGGUGGAGAGGAAAGGAAAAUAGAAGAAAGACCCCUUUCCUCCCGAAAUUUCAGUGCAAAUUCCCACAAAAUAGCAACAAAUAAAAGAUAGAAAGGAAAAAAAAAACCACAGAAGUGUCCAGAAUAAGGGUGUUUGUCAAGUGCUAAUUGAGGAUCCAGUUUUAUUUGUACAUUUUGAAAUGUUUUCUUUCAAAUUCUGGGUAUUUAGGGGUUAAUGAUGUGGCUGAAACCCUGUUGCUUUGAAUAGGAGGGAUUAGUUUUGUUGUUUCAGGAUUAAGGUCAGUCUUAUCAACAGGCUGUCAGCAGCCACCCUCAGCCCUACCU
RNAcentral lists this long non-coding RNA (1765 nucleotides) under Macaca fascicularis (crab-eating macaque). RNAcentral describes it as "lncRNA (ENSMFAG00000057399.1)". The record is from RNAcentral. Lineage: Eukaryota; Metazoa; Chordata; Mammalia; Primates; Cercopithecidae.